UUAGAAUAAAACGUUCAAUUAAUUUAACAACUGAAUUAUUGAUUGUUCCCUUUUUUUAAUUUUUAAAAAGUGUUGCUGUAUUUGAACACGACAUUUAAAUCUUUAAAGCAAAAACAACAUUUACAUUUGUCCACAAAUUCUAAACAAAUUCACAUUUUAACACAACUUUUGAGACAAAACGACAACAAAAAGACACAAAACAACCACAGAGACACAAGACAACAACAAAGACAAACAAAAGAACCACAGAGAGACACAACACAACAACAGAGACACAAAAAAACCACAAGGAGACACAACAGAACAACAGAGACACAAAACAACCACAAAGAGACACAAAACAACAACAAAGAGACACAAAACAACAAAGAGACACAAAACAGCAACAGAGACACAAAACAACCACAAAGAGACACAACACAACAACAAAAACACAAAACAACCACAAAGAGACACAACACAACAACAAAGACACACAAAACAACAACUGAGACACAACACAACCACAAAGAGACACAACACAACCACAAAGAGACACAACACAACCACAGAGACACAAAACAACCACAAAGAGACACAACACAACAACAAAGACACACAAAACAACAAGAGACACAAAACAACAACAAAGAGACACAAAACAACCACAAAGAGACACAACACAACAACAAAGAAACACAAAACAACAACAGAGACACAAAACAACCACAAAGAGACACUAAACAACAGAGACACAACACAACCAUAAAGAGACACAACACAACAACAAAGAGACACAAAACAACCACAAAGAGACACAACACAACCAUAAAGAGACACAAAACAACCACAAAGAGACACAACACAACCAUAAAUAGACACUAAACAAUGAUGUGAAAUCCUAUUAAUUUACUUGAACAUGAAUUUAAAUCCAAAUCAACUGUUGCAGGAGUUUUGAUUUUAAUUACAGAAUUAGUUGAUGCAACGUUUCAACACCAACCAUCUAAAUAAUGUUUAAAGUUUGUUCUCCGUCAGUAAAUUAAUUGUUUAAAUCUUUUAAUGAAGCGGCAGGAACAUGAUCAGAUCUUCAUGCUGGUUCUGAUGUUCAUGUUGAAGAAGAUCAGACGUAGGAAAGCUUCUGUAACCCGGGUGAUAAAACCCUAGUUAGAAAUAUAAAUAAAUAAGUAUAUCCUCCAUUCCCGUCUCCAAAACUGUCCUGUCAAAUGCGUAAUGACGUCAUACGUCACGCUGCGCGUCCUGUCACGUGACGGUGCGCGGCCAAUCGGGUUGUUUUAUAUCCGGAAGUCACUCGCGAGCCGCGAGCUUCGAGAGGGGGAUGUGUUGGGAACAUUUGCUGCAAGGAGCCAACUACCGGAGCCGCCAGGCGUCGUGUGGAGUCGCGGGUGUUGAUUAAAGAAGGAAUUGGCCAGGUGAUGGCGAGCUAGACCCAAAGAAUUAUAGGCCCACACUGCCUGAAGAACCCUGGAGCUCGAACUGAAGUGAACUGAACUGGACCUCCUGCACCUCCUCCACCUGGUUGGGCUGGUAGGAGGCUCCUUUAAGGCAGCCGCCCCUCUCUUUUACUUUUUGCCCCUCGCAACAACUCAUUCUUGGCCCAAACCCAUUCACCACUCGUUCAACACUCCCUUUCCCUGGACACCGCCCUUUCCCUCUGAACUCUGGACGAUUUGGGCCACUGAACUGUUGCGUGUGUUCUGUCUUGGCUGAACUUCAGAACUCUUUUCCGUGUGUUAAUGGAUCCAUCGAAUAAUGUUUUCUUGUGAAAUAAUUGUGACUUAAUUCUGUACUUCUCAUGAAUGGCCAUUCACUUUAAAUGUUAAAUGUUGUUUGUCUAUGUCAAAAUAUAAUAUAAUUGGUACCACCUAAAACUUA
Molecule: long non-coding RNA, 1872 nt
Organism: Amphiprion ocellaris (clown anemonefish)
Lineage: Eukaryota; Metazoa; Chordata; Actinopteri; Pomacentridae
Exons: 3
Source: RefSeq, a predicted model, not a curated record